RNAcentral lists this unclassified non-coding RNA (390 nucleotides) under fungal sp. RNAcentral's name for it is "partial internal transcribed spacer region". The stretch from base 1 to 46 matches the Rfam family "Eukaryotic small subunit ribosomal RNA", at positions 1786 to 1831 of the family's 1831-position model. Lineage: Eukaryota; Fungi. The record is from RNAcentral.
AAGUCGUAACAAGGUCUCCGUAGGUGAACCUGCGGAGGGAUCAUUAACAAAUAUAAAUAGAACGUUUCGAUCUAAGAUUAACUCUUUAGUAUUCUUAUUUCGAUUCCAAUAUUUUUACACACUGUGCGAACUGCUUAUCAAUCGACCAAAUUAGCUUAGGCCAAUUUGGCAAUAAUAAUUUGUUUUCGUUUCGUUUCGUUUUCUCUUUGAGAGGCGAAGCUAAGCCAAGCGAAUUAUUUCUUUUUUUCAAAAAACAAAUUUCACAUUCAAUUUAAUUUGCAAAACAACUUUCUUUUACUUUUCCUUAAAACGAAAAUCAAAAAGAGAAAAAGUUAAUAAAAAAAAUUAAUUUAAAAAGCACAACUCUUAGCAACGGAUAUCUUGGUUCUC